AAACCAGGAUUAGAUACCCUAUUAUAAAAAUUUAAAUUAAUUUACUAAAAAAUUAAUAGUUAUGUUCUUUAAAUUUAAAAAAUUUGGCGGUAUUUUAGUCUUAUUAGAGGAACCUGUUUAUUCAUUGAUAAUCCACGAUUAAUUUUACUUAUUUUUAUAAUUCAUAUAUCGCUGUCAUGAAUAUAUUUAAAAAUUUAUUUUCUUUAUUUAUUAUUAUAAUUUAUGUUAAGUCAAGAUGUGGUUAAUAAAUAAGUAUAUAAUGGGUUACAUUAAAUUUUAUUUUUUGGAUUUAAAAUGAAAAUUAAAAUGAAAUUGGAUUUAAUAGUAAAUUUAAUUAUUUAA
RNAcentral lists this ribosomal RNA (342 nucleotides) under Acyrthosiphon lactucae. RNAcentral's name for it is "partial 12S ribosomal RNA". Lineage: Eukaryota; Metazoa; Arthropoda; Insecta; Hemiptera; Aphididae. The record is from RNAcentral.